UGUUCAUGUUUGUAAAAUUACAUAUUUAUAUAUAUAUAAGUAUUUAAAAUAUAAUGCAAUUUAUUUACAUAUUGGAUUUUUCUCAUUUCUCCACACAAUCUCUUGUCUCUCUGUCUCUGUCUCUCUCUCUCAGGCACACACAAACACACACUCUCACACACAUGCACACACACACACUCUCUCUCUCUCUCUCUCACACAUACACACACAGAGACAGGAGAUUUUUUAUUAGUGGCUUUAUACAAUACAUAACACAAUGCCCUUUACAGAAGCACUGAAUAAUCUUGACAAUUACAAAUGGAUUCCUUUGAAAUAUUGUAUGAACAUUAAACCAAAAAAAUUUAUUUGUGUUAAGAAUAGGGUAACAAAUAUGAAAGUGAUUUUAAUAAAGGUCUUCCUAAAUUUUGCUAAUCAAUGUAUGCAUCAUAGAGGGGUAUUAUCUUCCUCAAUCACCACUAGGAGAUUAGGAGAAAAAAAGAAUAGUGACUGAACAGACGUGUAAGAAUGAUACACAAAACCUCAUAGUAAAAGUGGAAAAGAAGAAACAUUUUGUAAACCUGAAAUGUCUUGGAAUAUAAUUUUCCAUGUGGAAUCUGGCUCAAAUGGCAUGUCAGAUGCCAACUGGAGCAGCCACAGGCAUGUGAGCUACAGCACUGUCUAAAGGAUGCCACUAGUCUCAAUAUAUUCCCAGUAACAGUGAGUUGGUGGAAAGAGCUGUUCUGGCCUAGUAACUGAAGGCAACUACCAGGCAGUUAAAUGACAGGGCUUCAUGACUGAGACUGCUAUUGAAAAAGAAGAAGGUUUGUGUGUCUGAUGGGUGAACUCAUGCAAUAAUACUAAUAUGGGGGCGGGCAUGGGCCGGGGGAGUUGAAAAUGAGAAAAAGCAUUAUAUGAAGAUAUCAAGCAAUCAAUGUGAAUAAGAUAGACUCAGAGUAGCAAAAUGAAAAGUAACAAGGAAUACAAGAACAGAAGUCUAGGUGAGACUUCAGUACAUGAUUUAAGACAGAAAUCUUACACUUUUAAUCAAAAUGUUGCAAUAUUAAGAGUUGGAAGAAAAAAUGUACCUUGUUUUGUGCUGCUAAAAGAAAUAUCUCAGUUUUCAUAACUGGCUCUACAGACUUCCAUCACUUUCUAAAUUGGUAAUGCACAAACAAAAAUGGCAAGGAAUUUAUUCACUUAUUUAUUUAUUUAUUUAGAGACAAGGUCUCCUGCUGUUGCCCAGGCUGGAGUGCAGCAGCUGCAAUCAGGGCUCACUACAGCCUCAACCCCUCUGCUCAAGCGAUCCUCUCACCUCAGUCUCCUCAGUAGCUGGGACCACGGGCAUACAUCACCAUACCCAGCUAAUUUUUCAUUUUUUGUAGAGACAAGGUCUCAUUAUGUUGCCUGGGCUAGUCUUGAA
RNAcentral lists this long non-coding RNA (1399 nucleotides) under Homo sapiens (human). RNAcentral's name for it is "non-protein coding lnc-GHSR-1:1". The record is from RNAcentral. Lineage: Eukaryota; Metazoa; Chordata; Mammalia; Primates; Hominidae.